This is a non-coding RNA of Coturnix japonica (Japanese quail), 1743 nucleotides long. NCBI's taxonomy places the organism in Eukaryota, Metazoa, Chordata, Aves, Galliformes, Phasianidae. The record is from RefSeq and is a predicted model, not a curated record.
UUUGGGGAUCUGAGCCUGGGUUGGGGGAAGAAGGGGCAGAAAGAAGAGAAAGCUUUUAGUGGUGCCUUAUUGGUGAUGUGCUGUAUCUCUCAAGAUCGGUACUUGUUGGCAUCUCUAUUGAGGCAGUGCUUGAUAGAGUUGAGUACAGAGUGAUGGGCAGCAUGCUGUUGGGCUUUGAAACUGGGCUCCCUCAGCAAGAUGCAGAACACAGCCCCCUGUGGAGGCCUGGGCUCAGGUGCUGGCUGUGUGGGACAGACAGGAGGUGCUAUCUCAGCAAAGGCUUGGCAGAUGAAAUUCAUCUUUACUUCUGUAGUGGCCCAGAUCACUUGCGUGCACAGUUCUUAAAUUUCAAGAACACUUCAAGUGCUUUAUUGCAUCAGCUUAAAGAAGGAGCAAUAACUUGUACUUUUUUGAAUCAUGCAAUCAUAGAAUGGCUUGUGUUGGAAGGGACCCUGAAGAUCAUCUAGCUCCAGUUCCAGACUUCUGCUUGUGAUUGUUUUUAAAGCUUCUUGAAAUAUCUCAGUAUUUUACUGUAUUUUCAAUUUAAAAUUACAAAGUUUUAAAAUUACCACAGUGUUUUUUCUAACACUAAGAGAUUCACUAAUGUAGGCUGGUUUAGGACCUUGUAUACUGCUUUGGUAACUGGUGACCAUCACUUUUGUCUUGCAAUGGAAACAGCACUGAUUUGAAGUAUGCCACCCAAUGUUUCAUGUGUAUACUGUGAUAUUAUUGGUGGUGUUCAACAAGUUACCACCUUCAAAAGUGCCUACUUCUUUCAUCCUUCAAGUGUUUGUAUUUCACUCAAUGUCAGAGUAAAUUGCAUGAUUGAUAUUCGAGUCCAUUUAUCAAGGAACUCAUGCAUUCCCUUUUAAAAAUCAAUAUUUAAGAAUAAAAUAGCCUUGCAGUAAUUUAUCAGUGUAAGUAAAAAUGUUGCCUAAUGUUUUACUUGGAGAACUAACUUUUGAAGAUUAAAUAAAGGCAAAACUCACGCAAGCAUGGCUACCUCAGCAUUCCUUGUAUUGGCUCUUUUCAUGCAAGAAACAAGGCAGAAGUGGAACUAUUAUCUAUGGGGGAGCAGUGUACAAAAAAAAAAAAAAUUUCCAAAAAUACUGAUGGUGAUUUUACUGUAGAGAUCUUGAAAGUAGCUGUUUUCACUAGUUUCUCCAACCUGCAUUGAUUUGAAUCCUGGAAGUGUAUCUUGCUGGGGGGAGUCAAAAAUAUACUUAAAUACUGGCUUUAAAACUAGUGUGGAAAAAAAAGACAAGUUGGUUAUUAAAGUUCAAAUUGACGUGUGAAUUAGGAGAUUUGUGGGCAAAGUGGAGUUUUUUGGAUCCAUGUUCCAUCAGCCCUCAGAUACUCAAUGGUCAAGGUAUGUCAGGACUAUUACAGAACUCCUGUAUGGUUAGAAAAGAUCAGUUAAGUCAGUUACUUUCAUUCCAGGUAUUUGUACUUCUGAUAGGGCUUUAUAUCUGAAAAUAUAGUUUCCCUAUAUAUAUUUAUGUAGGUUUAAAUAUUUAUAUUAACUUACAGUGGCAGGUGAGGGUCUGUUGGAUUAGCUGGUUUCACUAAUGCCUUGCUUAUGAUUGUUCAGUUUUUGGAAUUGUGCAGAGAACUGCUGAGAGGCUUCUGUAUCUGAUAAUGGCUUAUGUAAUUCUAUUGAUAUAAAUGGCUCUUGUGAAAGGUUUGGUACUUGUUCUGUAUUUUUUCUGGAUGUAAUAAAAAAUAAAAGCUAUCUAAUGAUAA